GCGUAGGUGCGCGGGGCGAUAUCGCUUGGACAUACUGUACAGUUAAGUGAAUUAUCUCCCUUCCGCAUUUAGCCC
Molecule: microRNA precursor, 75 nt
Filed under: Echinococcus granulosus
Lineage: Eukaryota; Metazoa; Platyhelminthes; Cestoda; Cyclophyllidea; Taeniidae
Description: microRNA egr-mir-10289 precursor
Source: miRBase by way of RNAcentral